Molecule: transfer-messenger RNA, 325 nt
Filed under: Candidatus Nealsoniibacteriota bacterium
Lineage: Bacteria; Candidatus Nealsoniibacteriota
Description: Candidatus Nealsonbacteria bacterium transfer-messenger RNA
Rfam family: transfer-messenger RNA
About the family: Bacterial tmRNA, also known as 10Sa RNA or SsrA, is named for its dual tRNA and mRNA-like properties. Its role is to liberate the mRNA from a stalled ribosome. To accomplish this part of the tmRNA is used as a reading frame that ends in a translation stop signal.
Source: RNAcentral
GGGGGUGACAGGAUUCGACAGUUAUUCUUUGCUAAAAUCUGCAAGUAAAAGUUCUUAGAAUAAAUGCCAAUUUAUUCAAACAACCAGCUUACGCUUUAGCGUAACGCCAUCUGAAUAGUUGAUUCUCGAUAGACUAUCUCAGGUGUUAUAUAAAUCGAGAUGUCCGGUUUCUUUGCCUCGAAGAUUCCGGGAAAUUAAAGAGGCUGGAAAUGCUGAAGUUUUGUCUAUUUUAUAUUCAGUAUUUCGAACGGCAAAAUAGACUAAGCUUGUAGAAUGAUUUUAGUAAAAUUUCUGGAUCCGGGUUCAACUCUCGGCACCUCCACUU